This 254-nucleotide ribosomal RNA is filed under the name uncultured bacterium. RNAcentral's name for it is "partial 16S ribosomal RNA". It matches the Rfam family "Bacterial small subunit ribosomal RNA", at positions 524 to 776 of the family's 1533-position model. The record is from RNAcentral.
GACGUAGGGCGCGAGCGUUGUCCGGAUUUAUUGGGCGUAAAGAGCUCGUAGGCGGCUUGUUGCGUCGACUGUGAAAACCUGCGGCUCAACCGUGUGGUCUGCAGUCGAUACGGGCAGGCUGGAGUUCGGUAGGGGAGACUGGAAUUCCUGGUGUAGCGGUGAAAUGCGCAGAUAUCAGGAGGAACACCGGUGGCGAAGGCGGGUCUCUGGGCCGAUACUGACGCUGAGGAACGAAAGCGUGGGGAGCGAACAGG